This 253-nucleotide ribosomal RNA is filed under the name uncultured bacterium. Its description in RNAcentral is "partial 16S ribosomal RNA". It matches the Rfam family "Bacterial small subunit ribosomal RNA", at positions 524 to 776 of the family's 1533-position model. The record is from RNAcentral.
UACGAAGGGAGCUAGCGUUGUUCGGAAUCACUGGGCGUAAAGCGCACGUAGGCGGAUGUGUCAGUCAGGGGUGAAAUCCCGGAGCUCAACUCCAGAACUGCCUUUGAUACUGGCGAUCUUGAGUCCGGGAGAGGUGAGUGGAACUGCGAGUGUAGAGGUGAAAUUCGUAGAUAUUCGCAAGAACACCAGUGGCGAAGGCGGCUCACUGGCCCGGUACUGACGCUGAGGUGCGAAAGCGUGGGGAGCAAACAGG